Molecule: ribosomal RNA, 505 nt
Filed under: uncultured bacterium
Lineage: Bacteria
Description: partial 16S ribosomal RNA
Rfam family: Bacterial small subunit ribosomal RNA
Source: RNAcentral
GACGAACGCUGGCGGCGUGCCUAAUACAUGCAAGUAGAACGCACAGUUUAUACCGUAGCUUGCUACACCAUAGACUGUGAGUUGCGAACGGGUGAGUAACGCGUAGGUAACCUGCCUGGUAGCGGGGGAUAACUAUUGGAAACGAUAGCUAAUACCGCAUAAUAUUAAUUAUUGCAUGAUAAUUGAUUGAAAGAUGCAACUGCAUCACUACCAGAUGGACCUGCGUUGUAUUAGCUAGUAGGUGAGGUAACGGCUCACCUAGGCGACGAUACAUAGCCGACCUGAGAGGGUGAUCGGCCACACUGGGACUGAGACACGGCCCAGACUCCUACGGGAGGCAGCAGUAGGGAAUCUUCGGCAAUGGACGAAAGUCUGACCGAGCAACGCCGCGUGAGUGAAGAAGGUUUUCGGAUCGUAAAGCUCUGUUGUAAGAGAAGAACGGGUGUGAGAGUGGAAAGUUCACACUGUGACAGUAUCUUACCAGAAAGGGACGGCUAACUACGUG